Alnus glutinosa is the source of this 919-nucleotide long non-coding RNA. RefSeq lists it as uncharacterized. The transcript is spliced from 3 exons. Lineage: Eukaryota; Viridiplantae; Streptophyta; Magnoliopsida; Fagales; Betulaceae. The record is from RefSeq and is a predicted model, not a curated record.
UUUUUUACUCUUUUAUCAUUUUCUUCUUUUCUUUCUUUUCUUGUCUUCUUCCUUCUUCAUUUCUCCUUCUUCGUUCUUUCUUCUUCUUGUUCGGAAGUCACGCAGAGAGUGAGAGGGAGAGUUCAGGGAGAGACAGAGAGAUGAGAAGAGAGGGAGAGAGAGACCGAGCAUAAGAGAGACGAAGAGGGAAGAGAAGCUGUGACCCGUCGACCCAGGUGGGCAAUUUCCGGUGGCCAGAACUGAAAUCUGGCGAGGCAGUGUGAUUCCGGUGGAUGCCCAGGCCGAUUUCCGGCAAGUCAGUGAGCCCGUAACCCGAAGAGACUCGGAGACCUGAGUGAUCGUGAACCGUGCGAUCUGCAACCCGCCAGACCCGAGAGCCCAGAUGCCGAUCCUUCUCCUUCCUUCAUCCUUUCUCUUCUAUAUUGUUUCUUCUCUUCUUUGUCUAAGUCGCAGAGAGAGAGGAACCGUGAGAUGAGAGAGACCGAGAGAAAGAUAGUGAAUCAGAGGAGAGACUCGGAGGGAGAGAGAGAGAGAGAGAGAGCUGAACAGAGAGAGGACUUGACCUCCGGAAGGCCCAAUUUUCUGGCCAAUCGCGGUGGGUCGGAGCAGAGGACGCCGGCAGAGCUGGAGGACGCGAACUCCGGCGAUUUUCGUGGGAAAUUUUCGGUGGCUUUUCUCAGGUUUUAAUCAUGAAAUCCCAAGGUAAAAGCUCGAUCCCGAUGCUAAUGGAAAGUCCAGAUGACAACCGUAAGACGAAGUCUUUUUCUUGUAAGGGAGUAGACCUCGCUGAGAGCGAUAGUUCGUGAUGAACCAGCCAAACCCUAAUAUUGUAUAGUAUGAUUUGUUCCUUUUGGAGUUCAUGAUUUUGUAUAGAUUAUUAAUAGAAAGGUUUAAUUAAAAUAUGAGUUUUAAAUUUAUA